CCUACGGGGGGCAGCAGUGAGGAAUAUUGGUCAAUGGACGAGAGUCUGAACCAGCCAAGUAGCGUGAAGGAUGACUGCCCUAUGGGUUGUAAACUUCUUUUAUAUGGGAAUAAAACGUUCCACGUGUGGGAUUUUGUAUGUACCAUAUGAAUAAGGAUUGGCUAACUCCGUGCCAGCAGCCGCGGUAAUACGGAGGAUCCGAGCGUUAUCCGGAUUUAUUGGGUUUAAAGGGAGCGUAGGUGGAUUGUUAAGUCAGUUGUGAAAGUUUGCGGCUCAACCGUAAAAUUGCAGUUGAAACUGGCAGUCUUGAGUACAGUAGAGGUGGGCGGAAUUCGUGGUGUAGCGGUGAAAUGCUUAGAUAUCACGAAGAACUCCGAUUGCGAAGGCAGUUCACUGGACUGCAACUGACACUGAGGCUCGAAAGUGUGGGUAUCAAACAGGAUUAGAUACCCCAGUAGUC
Molecule: ribosomal RNA, 460 nt
Filed under: uncultured bacterium
Lineage: Bacteria
Description: partial 16S ribosomal RNA
Rfam family: Bacterial small subunit ribosomal RNA
Source: RNAcentral